RNAcentral lists this long non-coding RNA (1138 nucleotides) under Sinocyclocheilus grahami. Its description in RNAcentral is "lncRNA (ENSSGRG00000033670.1)". The record is from RNAcentral. Lineage: Eukaryota; Metazoa; Chordata; Actinopteri; Cypriniformes; Cyprinidae.
GUUGAGGGUUGCAUAAGAAUGUAGAUGGUGUCAGGUUAAAGGGCUCAAAAGGGGCAAUCAGGUGAAGAGGGAGGGAAAAGGGGAAGCACUGCCUGAAAAACAUGACCUUUGUGUGAUAGUUAUCUGGCUACUGGGAGUGAGCUGGUGGGGGCCCAUGAGGAAUAGCAAUGCUUUUGUUGGUAAUCUUGGCACGAUCAAGCUGUCCUGUUUUGUGCCUAUGACUCAGAUCUCCCUGAUCUCCAAAAGACACUCACUCAAUACCGCCUGCAUGGAUGCCCUCGCUCACCCCUGCGAGGGACCAACCUCAGGGCCGCAGACCCUUAUUCCUCCCCAUUCAGCCUCUUGAGAGAUUCGCCUCAGAUGUGCAGCUAUCCACCUGUCUGGAGGUCCAAUGUGCUCCUCUGACUCUAAACCUUCAAUCUGACGGCUCGGCUUUCACUCAAACUGGCCUAAAUCAAGCGGCACUGCCCUAUUGAAGAUGAAGAGGUGCAGCCUGGAGCUCAUACGCCACAGACAGGGCUCCUAUUGAUUUUAUAGCACAAGCUGCUGGUAAGCUGUGCUCUCUCUGGCAUACUAAAUUCCCUGCCCUUCUAGGAGGGCUUGAUGAACUGCCCAGGUAGCUCUCACUCAUUCCUCUUGUCAGAAGCACUUGAGCUAGAUGAAUGUCUUACCUGUGCCUCGUGUGCAUGCGACUCACUUAAAUGUUUCCCAGCGACUCUUGAAGCUUUUUACCGCAGUCUCUGAUGAUGAAUGGCUUUUUUUGUUUGUAAGAAAAUGUUUUAGAUGCUUUUCCAGGUUUCGCUGUGGAGGAUUUAUCUUCUGAUGUAUGAAGACAGGGCAUUUUUAGCUGGCAGACAUGACCCCUCAGUCAAGUCAAGGUAGAUAGAUAACAGUUAAACAUCAUGACGCAGGAUGCCAUUGUUUUGCAAACACACGGAAUGGAUGUGCCUUCAUUGUUAAAGUCAACAUGAAAUGAUUCCUCAAGACUCCAGACUGGGACUAAAAUAGUUUUAAAUGCAACAAAAAAAAAUUACCAUUAGCGAUAAUAACAUCAGCAUAUGUUUGUUGCAUUUCUCCCUCUGAGAGGCAGUUUGCACAGAACUUUCAAAAUGUAAUAAUUAUUUCUGACUCACCUCAC